GCCUCUAUAGCUCAGUGGUACGAGCGCUUCACUUGUAAUGAAGAGGUCCGUGGUUCAAUCCCGCGUGGAGGCU
This 73-nucleotide transfer RNA is filed under the name Penicillium oxalicum 114-2. RNAcentral describes it as "tRNA-Thr (TGT) (tRNA-Thr-TGT-1-1)". It matches the Rfam family "tRNA". From Rfam's summary of the family: Transfer RNA (tRNA) molecules are approximately 80 nucleotides in length. Their secondary structure includes four short double-helical elements and three loops (D, anti-codon, and T loops). Lineage: Eukaryota; Fungi; Ascomycota; Eurotiomycetes; Eurotiales; Aspergillaceae. The record is from RNAcentral. RNAcentral also lists the same sequence under 1 other name.